Molecule: ribosomal RNA, 743 nt
Filed under: uncultured Nitrosovibrio sp.
Lineage: Bacteria; Pseudomonadati; Pseudomonadota; Betaproteobacteria; Nitrosomonadales; Nitrosomonadaceae
Description: bacterial SSU rRNA
Rfam family: Bacterial small subunit ribosomal RNA
Source: RNAcentral
UUCGGAAUAACUCGGGGAAACUUGAGCUAAUACCGGAUACGGCUGAGAGGCGAAAGAUUUAUCGCCGGAGGAUUGGCCCGCGUUCGAUUAGCUUGUUGGUGAGGUAACGGCUCACCAAGGCGACGAUCGAUAGCUGGUCUGAGAGGAUGAUCAGCCACAUUGGGACUGAGACACGGCCCAAACUCCUACGGGAGGCAGCAGUGGGGAAUAUUGGACAAUGGGCGCAAGCCUGAUCCAGCCAUGCCGCGUGAGUGAUGACGGCCUUAGGGUUGUAAAGCUCUUUCGCUCGGGAAGAUAAUGACGGUACCGAGAUAAGAAGCCCCGGCUAACCUCGUGCCAGCAGCCGCGGUAAUACGAAGGCAGCGAGCGUUGUUCGGAAUUACUGGGCGUAAAGAGUGUGUAGGCGGUGUUCCCAGUCUGUUGUGAAAUCUCCCGGCUUAACUGGGAGGGUGCAGCGGAAACUAGAAUGCUAGAGGGUGGGAGAGGUAAGCGGAAUUCCUGGUGUAGCGGUGAAAUGCGUAGAUAUCAGGAGGAACACCUGUGGUGUAGACAGCUUACUGGACCACUUCUGACGCUGAGACACGAAAGCGUGGGUAGCAAACAGGAUUAGAUACCCUGGUAGUCCACGCCCUAAACGAUGCAUACUUGGUGUGAGCGAUUCAUUUCGUUCGUGCCGGAGCUAACGCGUUAAAUAUGCCGCCUGGGAGUACGGUCGCAAGGCUGAAACUCAAAUGAAUUGACGG